GAUGAACGCUAGCGGCAGGCCUAAUACAUGCAAGUCGGACGGGAUUGGAGAGCUUGCUUUCCAUGAGAGUGGCGCACGGGUGCGUAACACGUAUGCAACCUACCUUUACCAGGGGGAUAGCCUCUCGAAAGAGAGAUUAACACCGCAUAAAAUUAGUUUAUGGCAUCAUAAAUUGAUCAAAUAUUUAUAGGGUAAAGAUGGGCAUGAGGAACAUUAGCUAGUUGGUAAGGUAACGGCUUACCAAGGCGACGAUGUUUAGGGGAUCUGAGAGGAUGACCCCCCGCACUGGUACUGAGACACGGACCAGACUCCUACGGGAGGCAGCAGUAAGGAAUAUUGGUCAAUGGGCGCAAGCCUGAACCAGCCAUGCCGCGUGCAGGAAGACGGCCCUACGGGUUGUAAACUGCUUUUGUACGGGAAUAAACCCUGAUACGUGUAUCAGGCUGAAUGUACCGUAAGAAUAAGGAUCGGCUAACUCCGUGCCAGCAGCCGCAGUAA
RNAcentral lists this ribosomal RNA (498 nucleotides) under uncultured bacterium. RNAcentral's name for it is "partial 16S ribosomal RNA". It matches the Rfam family "Bacterial small subunit ribosomal RNA", at positions 28 to 523 of the family's 1533-position model. The record is from RNAcentral.